UGCAAGUCGAGCGAAGGGAGUACUACGGUACGAACUUAGCGGCGGACGGGUGAGUAACGCGUAGACAAUCUACCCUGUAGACUGGGAUAACACCUCGAAAGGGGUGCUAAUACCGGAUAAUGUCGAGAGGCGGCAUCGCUUUCGAAGAAAGGAGGAAAUCCGCUAUAGGAGGAGUCCGCGUCCCAUUAGCUAGUUGGUGAGAGUAACGGCCCACCAGGGCGACGAUGGGUAGCCGGCCUGAGAGGGUGAACGGCCACACUGGAACUGAGCACGGUCCAGACUCC
This 284-nucleotide ribosomal RNA is filed under the name uncultured bacterium. RNAcentral's name for it is "partial 16S ribosomal RNA". It matches the Rfam family "Bacterial small subunit ribosomal RNA", at positions 56 to 339 of the family's 1533-position model. The record is from RNAcentral.